Molecule: long non-coding RNA, 593 nt
Organism: Mastomys coucha (southern multimammate mouse)
Lineage: Eukaryota; Metazoa; Chordata; Mammalia; Rodentia; Muridae
Exons: 2
Source: RefSeq, a predicted model, not a curated record
CAUUUCUUUUCUUUUCUUUUUAAAGCAUUUGGGCCCCACACAGGCCUUUGAAGACCUGAAGAAAGCCACACACCAGAAGUUACUCAGACAUCCAAACGCCUUGUGAACACUCUGGGGUUCCCGACAUUCUUGCACUCAAUGCCCAGACUCUGGGUUGUGUGCAGACAUCCCAGCUCCACCUGGCAGAGGAUGGCCCUCCCACUAGCAUCUAUAAACUGAAGGAAGAGAGCAGGAUGGUAAUGUGGGAAAGGACUUGCAACCGUGUGCUUUGCCCAAGUGACUCAAGCCUCUAGGCGACUUACAAUAAUCUCAAGUAACGACAGAGAAGAGGAGCCUUGGAAGGAAGCCUGGGGCUGCCAGGACUCUUCCUUGCUGUGGGUUGUAGAAGCUGGGUCAGCAGCCUUUCCUGUGAACUUACAACAAACACACCAAGGGUGUCUUUCAGCUGCCCUGGUACCACCCACACAGUGCAGGUACUGCGCCUGAGUGGGGUAUCUGAGGUGGGGCAAAUGGCUCACCCAUCAUGGCAAUUGUGGUUUGUCUCGUUGGACAUGGGCUGCAACCCUGAGCCGUGAUGAGAUAAAAGGUCAACU